UCAUUUAUCUUUUUUAUCUUUUUUUUUUUAAUUUUUUUUAUUUUUUUUUUUUUUUUUUUCUUUUUCUUUUUUCG
RNAcentral lists this non-coding RNA (74 nucleotides) under Nephroselmis pyriformis. The record is from RNAcentral. Lineage: Eukaryota; Viridiplantae; Chlorophyta; Nephroselmidophyceae; Nephroselmidales; Nephroselmidaceae.